GCCCGUGUGGCCUAAUGGAUAAGGCGCUAGCCUCCUAAGUUAGAGACUCAGGGUUCGAGUCCCUGCUCGGGUA
RNAcentral lists this transfer RNA (73 nucleotides) under Daphnia galeata. It matches the Rfam family "tRNA". From Rfam's summary of the family: Transfer RNA (tRNA) molecules are approximately 80 nucleotides in length. Their secondary structure includes four short double-helical elements and three loops (D, anti-codon, and T loops). Lineage: Eukaryota; Metazoa; Arthropoda; Branchiopoda; Diplostraca; Daphniidae. The record is from Rfam by way of RNAcentral.